GAUGAACGCUGGCGGCGUGCCUAAUACAUGCAAGUCGAGCGAACAGACGAGGAGCUUGCUCCUCUGACGUUAGCGGCGGACGGGUGAGUAACACGUGGAUAACCUACCUAUAAGACUGGGAUAACUUCGGGAAACCGGAGCUAAUACCGGAUAAUAUAUUGAACCGCAUGGUUCAAUAGUGAAAGACGGUUUUGCUGUCACUUAUAGAUGGAUCCGCGCCGCCUUAGCUAGUUGGUAAGGUAACGGCUUACCAAGGCAACGAUGCGUAGCCGACCUGAGAGGGUGAUCGGCCACACUGGAACUGAGGCACGGUCCAGACUCCUACGGGAGGCAGCAGUAGGGAAUCUUCCGCAAUGGGCGAAAGCCUGACGGAGCAACGCCGCGUGAGUGAUGAAGGUCUUCGGAUCGUAAAACUCUGUUAUUAGGGAAGAACAAAUGUGUAAGUAACUAUGCACGUCUUGACGGUACCUAAUCAGAAAGCCACGGCUAACUACGUG
This 497-nucleotide ribosomal RNA is filed under the name uncultured bacterium. RNAcentral describes it as "partial 16S ribosomal RNA". It matches the Rfam family "Bacterial small subunit ribosomal RNA", at positions 28 to 507 of the family's 1533-position model. The record is from RNAcentral.